AUGUGUAUGCUCUUUGCGGAUGAUGUGGUGCUAGUUGACGAUAGUCGGACGGGGGUAAAUAGGAAGUUAGAGUUAUGGAGACAAACCUUGGAAUCGAAAUGGUUUAGGCUUAGUAGAACUAAAACCGAGUACAUGAUGUGCGGUUUCAGUACUACUAGGUGUGAGGAGGAGGAGGUUAGCCUUGAUGGCCAGGUGGUACCUCGGAAGGACACCUUUCGGUAUUUGGGGUCAAUGUUGCAGGAGGAUGGGGGUAUUGAUGAAGAUGUGAACCAUCGAAUCAAAGCCGGAUGGAUGAAGUGGCGCCAAGCUUCUGGCAUUCUCUGUGACAAGAGAGUGCCACAAAAGCUAAAAGGCAAGUUCUACAGGACGGCGGUUCGACCCGUAAUGUUGUAUGGCGCGGAGUGUUGGCCGACUAAAAGGCGACAUGUUCAACAGUUAGGUGUGGCGGAGAUGCGUAUGUUGAGAUGGAUGUGUGGCCACACGAGGAAGGAUCGAGUCCGGAUUGAUGAUAUACGAGAUAGAGUUGGGGUAGCACCAAUUGAGGAGAAGCUUGUCCAACAUCGUCUGAGAUGGUUUGGGCAUAUUCAGCGC
Molecule: ribosomal RNA, 591 nt
Filed under: Triticum aestivum (bread wheat)
Lineage: Eukaryota; Viridiplantae; Streptophyta; Magnoliopsida; Poales; Poaceae
Description: partial small subunit ribosomal RNA
Source: RNAcentral